RNAcentral lists this ribosomal RNA (253 nucleotides) under uncultured bacterium. RNAcentral describes it as "partial 16S ribosomal RNA". It matches the Rfam family "Bacterial small subunit ribosomal RNA", at positions 524 to 776 of the family's 1533-position model. The record is from RNAcentral.
UACGAACCGUGCUAACGUUGUUCGGAAUCACUGGGCUUAAAGGGCGCGUAGGCGGGCAUGCAAGUCAGGGGUGAAAGCCCACGGCUCAACCGUGGAAGUGCCUUUGAUACUGCGUGUCUUGAGCGAGGUAGGGGCGUGCGGAACUUCCGGUGGAGCGGUGAAAUGCGUAGAUAUCGGGAGGAACACCAGUGGCGAAGGCGGCUUUCUGGUCUGCUCUUGACGCUGAGGCGCGAAAGCUAGGGUAGCAAACGGG